RNAcentral lists this ribosomal RNA (520 nucleotides) under uncultured Glomus. RNAcentral's name for it is "SSU rRNA". It matches the Rfam family "Eukaryotic small subunit ribosomal RNA", at positions 569 to 1090 of the family's 1831-position model. Lineage: Eukaryota; Fungi; Glomeromycota; Glomeromycetes; Glomerales; Glomeraceae. The record is from RNAcentral.
AGCAGCCGCGGUAAUUCCAGCUCCAAUAGCGUAUAUUAAAGUUGUUGCAGUUAAAAAGCUCGUAGUUGAAUUUCGGGGUUAGUAGGCUGGUCAUGCCUCUGGUAUGUACUGGUCUCACUGAUUCCUCCUUCCUGAUGAACCUUAAUGCCAUUUAUUUGGUGUUUUGGGGAAUUUGGACUGUUACUUUGAAAAAAUUAGAGUGUUUAAAGCAAGCUAACGCUUGAAUACAUUAGCAUGGAAUAAUGAAAUAGGACGUUCGAUCCUAUUUUGUUGGUUUCUAGGAUUGACGUAAUGAUUAAUAGGGAUAGUUGGGGGCAUUAGUAUUCAAUUGUCAGAGGUGAAAUUCUUGGAUUUAUUGAAGACUAACUACUGCGAAAGCAUUUGCCAAGGAUGUUUUCAUUAAUCAAGAACGAAAGUUAGGGGAUCGAAGACGAUCAGAUACCGUCGUAGUCUUAACCAUAAACUAUGCCGACUAGGGAUCGGAUGAUGUUAAUUUUUUAAUGACUCAUUCGGCGCCUUA